This 331-nucleotide unclassified non-coding RNA is filed under the name soil metagenome. RNAcentral's name for it is "partial contains 5.8S ribosomal RNA, internal transcribed spacer 2, and large subunit ribosomal RNA". The stretch from base 1 to 120 matches the Rfam family "5.8S ribosomal RNA", at positions 35 to 154 of the family's 154-position model. The record is from RNAcentral.
GAUGAAGAACGUAGCGAAAUGCGAUAAGUAAUGUGAAUUGCAGAAUUCAGUGAAUCAUCGAAUCUUUGAACGCACAUUGCGCCCCCUGGUAUUCCGGGGGGCAUGCCUGUUCGAGCGUCAUUUCACCACUCAAGCCUCGCUUGGUAUUGGGCAACGCGGUCCGCCACGUGCCUCAAAUCGACCGGCUGGGUCUUCUGUCCCCUAAGCGUUGUGGAAACUAUUCGCUAAAGGGUGUUCGGGAGGCUACGCCGUAAAACAACCCCAUUUCUAAGGUUGACCUCGGAUCAGGUAGGGAUACCCGCUGAACUUAAGCAUAUCAAUAAGCGGAGGA